UUGUAUAGAAAAUAAUGCAUUGGACGGAUGCCCAAGCAUUGAAAAGGAAGGACGAUUUUAGAGGCAAAAGGCCAUGGGGAGAUCUCGUCUGUGAUCCAUGGAUCUUUGAUCGGAGAACCGUAUUCAAGCUCUAUGGCUACUCUAUACUCUUUAGACUUUUCAAACUUAGCGAACUGAAACAUCUUAGUAGCUAAAGGAAGGGAAAUCAAUCGAGACCCCAUUAGUAGCGACGAGCGAGAGUGGAUUGGGGGUUUCCAUAAAAAGAAAGAUGAAGCUUUUUUCAUUGACUGAAGUCGAUCUUCUUCGAAUCGCUCCGUGGGGUCAAGUGAGUUCCUCAGCAAAGUCUGAACGUGAACUUCUUUUCCUUUUUCACCAGGUUUCAUUCGAUUUGUUGUUGAUUGGAUGAUGAAAAAACCAACAAGCCACUUGACCUUUCAUACGAGGUCAAGGGUAAAAGAAUUUAAGUUGUGAAAAGGUUGGAAGAUCUGGCUAAAGAAGGUGAUAACCCUAUAGAUUCGUUCCCAUGAUUCGAUCCUUCCCAAUCAAACGCGAUGUGUUUGAAAUUUGACCGAUAACAUACAAGUACCAUGAGGAAAAGGUGAAAAGAACCCUAUUUAGGGAGUGCAAUAAAGAACCUGAGAUCUGAUGCUUUUAAUCAACGAAGAAACUGCAAGCCUUGACUUUCAAUUCUCUUAGUCAAGCUAUCUCACUCUAACGGCGUACCUUUUGCAUGUUGGGUCAACAAGAAAAUAGGAACUACGGCUUAAGCCAUUGGGUGUAGGCGCUUUCUAGAGGUGGAAGAUUCUCGUUCUUCCUAUUUGACCUAAAAUCGAUCGAUCUAGCCAUGAGAAGGUUGAAGAGAACCCUAACAGUCCUUAAAGGAUUGAACCUAUGUAUGUGGCAAAAUACGGGGAUGACUUAUGGCUAGGGGUGAAAGGCUAACGAAGAUCGGAUAUAGCUGGUUUUUUGUGAAAUCUAUUUGAGUAGAGUGUAUGAUGUUGAUGGCUCGAGGUAGAGAACUCAAUGGGCUAUGGCCCUAUUUCGCCUUACCAACCUUAAGGAAACUUCGAAUAUAGGUCUAGAUUGUUUGUACAGACAGGCUUAUGGGGUGCUAAGAUCCAAAGUCGAGAGGGAAAUAGCCUAGAUCGUACACUAAUGUCCCUAAGUAAUCACUUAGUGAAAAAGAAAGUUCUUGAGCGAUGACAACCAGGAGGUGGGCUUGGAAGCAGCAUCCUUUGAAGAAAGCGUAAUAUCUCACUGGUUUAACUCCAUGGCAUUGAAAUUGUCUCGGGGCUCAAGUGAUUCAUCGAAGUGACGAGACCUUGAAAGUAGCUUUUUUAAGUGUCAAUAAUUGGACGUUUUGUCAAUCGGAGAAGGUUUUUGGUGACAAGAUCUAGAGAUAUCAGAAGUGAGAAUAACAUGAGUAACGAGAAAUCCUUUGAAAAAUAAGAUUGCCUGCCAGUGGAAGGCUUUCUGCAUUCAGUCAAUCUACACAGAGAGAAUCGGUCCCUAAGGAACCCUCGAAAGGGCUAUCGUUCAAUGGGUACCAAAAGUGACGAAGUAGCUUUGACUAUAGAACAAUCCCUAUACAUUGAAGUGAAUAUGAUGAUCGGGCCUAGGGCAGCCCCCUUUUCCCCUCACUCUCCUUUCCCGCAUUGUGGGAUUCACCUUGAGUCAUCAAAGCCUUUCUGACUCGACCUAGUCUAGUCGCCUUACUCGACUGGUGCGGCUGAAAGGCGAAACUCUCAUCUCCAUAACCGCUACAUGGGGGGUGGACACCUUUUUUUAUCUAAAGGCUUUGACUCUGAAAUGGCCUUUGACUCGGCCUAGCGGGCAAGGCUGGCUCUGGCUUUGCUAAUACCUUUCUCAGUAGUUGAAAGUGUACGCUUCCAUUUUCGAAUGUCUCGUUCAGCCUUAUAAGUCUACAAGCCUUUCUCAUUCCAGUGUUCGCCUUUGAGUAAGGGUCCUGAGAGAGCGUAUCGCCAUACUUGUGAGUCUGUUUAUAGUCACGGCUCUUGUCAUAGUGAUCAAGGUUUCAACUUCAAGGAAAACACUUCUUUUUGGGAGGGCGAUCCUCUCGGUAAACUGACUGUACCCCAAACCGACAUAGGUGAACAAGUAGAGUAUAUUACGGUGCUAGAGAGAACCAUGUUGAAGAAACUCAGCAAAAUGACCCUGUAACUUCGGGAGAAGAGGUGUUCUCCUAUUUUUUUCUUAGGAAAGCGACAUAGACGAGGGGGUAGCGACUGUUUAAUAAAAACACAGGAUUCUGCUAAGUGGUAACACGAUCUAUAGAGUCUGACACCUGUUCGAUGCUGAAAGGUCGAAAGGAGAAGUGUGAUAAGCUUUGAAUGGAAGCCCCGGUAAACAACGACAGUACUCUAACUGUCCUAAGGUAGCAAAAUUCCUUGUCGCAUAAGUACCGACUUGCACAAAUGGUGUCACGACUGCCCUGCUGUCUCUGACAUGAACCUGGUGAAAUUGAAUUCUCCAUGAAGAUGUACAGUACCAACGGCUAGAUGGUAAGACGCUGUGCACCUUCAUUAUAGCUUCGCAGUGAAAACCUUGAUCGAAAGUGUAGGAUAGGUGGGAGGUGGUGACACACAACAACCAAUCUUGAAAGACCUCUCUUUCGUCUAAGGAUGCCUAACCACUGCAUCGAGUUUCCGAGGGGCGUGGGGGCGGACAUUGCAAGGUGGGUAGGCUCAAGCUCAGAUUCUACUCGUAAGCGUAAUGGUAUAAGCCUGCCUGACUGUGAGACCGAUUGGUAGAAUAUAGACGAAAGUCAGCCAUAGUGAUCCGGAAGUUUCGUGUGGAAGGGCUCUCGCUCAAUGGAUCAAAGGUACACCGGGGAUAACAGGCAGAUGACUCCUAAGAGCUCUUAUUGAUGGAGUCAUUUGGCAGCUCGAUGUAUGAAAGUAGAUGUAGGGAUGCAAGAGAACUCCCACUGACAGAAAGAGACCUGGAUGCCCUUAUGACA
This 2980-nucleotide ribosomal RNA is filed under the name Cucumis melo (muskmelon). Its description in RNAcentral is "Bacterial large subunit ribosomal RNA". It matches the Rfam family "Bacterial large subunit ribosomal RNA", at positions 1 to 2632 of the family's 2925-position model. The record is from Rfam by way of RNAcentral. Lineage: Eukaryota; Viridiplantae; Streptophyta; Magnoliopsida; Cucurbitales; Cucurbitaceae.